UAGAGCGGCGGACGGGUGAGUAACACGUGGACAAUCUGCCCCCCGGCCCGGGAUAGCCCAGGGAAACCUGGAUUAAUACCGGAUGAGACGGGACCCGCGAUGGCGGGACCCGGGAAAGGCGCUGCGGCGUCCGCCGGGGGAUGAGUCUGCGUCCCAUUAGCUAGACGGCGGGGUAACGGCCCACCGUGGCGACGAUGGGUAGCCGGCCUGAGAGGGUGGACGGCCACAUUGGAACUGAGACACGGUCCAGACUCCUACGGGAGGCAGCAGCUAAGAAUCUUCCGCAAUGGGCGAAAGCCUGACGGAGCGACGCCGCGUGAACGAAGAAGGCCGUGAGGUUGUAAAGUUCUUUUCGGGAGGGGGAACAACCGUGGCAGGGAAUGGCCGCGGGAUGACGUGAAUCCCGGAAUAAGCCCCGGCUAACUACGUGCCAGCAGCAGC
This 441-nucleotide ribosomal RNA is filed under the name uncultured bacterium. Its description in RNAcentral is "bacterial SSU rRNA". It matches the Rfam family "Bacterial small subunit ribosomal RNA", at positions 91 to 518 of the family's 1533-position model. The record is from RNAcentral.